Molecule: long non-coding RNA, 1203 nt
Organism: Lolium rigidum
Lineage: Eukaryota; Viridiplantae; Streptophyta; Magnoliopsida; Poales; Poaceae
Exons: 4
Source: RefSeq, a predicted model, not a curated record
AGAAUAGAAAGAGAAAAUUAUGUCUACAUUUUGGUUGUGAUAGAUUAAUAUCUAUGUGAUGAUGUUUUAUUGUUUUUAGGCAUGUAUUCGAUACAAAAAUGAAUAGACAAAGAAUACUAUUAAUAUCGUAUUAAUACCCAUCGUGGCUCGUGUUCUUUAAUCUGGAAAGGUAAACUACUGGUCUUCAUAAUCGACUGCAAGAGAAGAAAAGCUUAAUUACCUGAAAAAUAUAUCAGAGUGAAGGCACUUAUUCCAGGUUUUGCAUAUUCUAUCAUUGCAGCCUUAGUUCCAUGGUUCCACCCAACCUGGCGACAUUUGCACCACUCGCAGGUACACAAACUUCUCUCUUCUUUCAUGAUAUCGAAUGUUGGAUUAGUCCUGAUCCUGCUGAAUCAUAUUUUUCAUUGGAAAAUUUGGGCAUGAGAAAGAAAAAAAUAUUUGCACCGGCUCUGGCGUGUGCCACAUGUUUGACAGGCAUAUGCCAUGGGAUUCGAUGAAGAAGAGGAGCAGGUGUUGUUCACGGUCGUCGCUGAAGCGCAUAGGUCCUAGCAGCUGAAUCUGAGAAGCAUUUGGCAUGUACCAAGGUAUCAAGACCUCCUCUUUCUUGCUUCUGAUGUUGUCCCUCCAAUCCUUUGUUUUACUCGGGACAUGAUGUUCCCAACUCAGGCUCACUUGGAAGUUCUUAUCUGCCCUAUAGAGUAUAGACUGGUUAUGUACGAAAGAGACUCUGGAAGGGGUGAUUUAGUUUUUGCUGAUUUUGAAAACUAACACUAUUGUUGAGUUCCUAAAGUCAUUUGGCAGGGAUUCUAUUUUGGGAUCAAUUGAAUCCAAGGUGCACAAGCUAGAUAAAAUCCGUAAACAGAGAUUUUUUUUGCACUUUAUCACCAUGAAAAUGGAGUGGAGGCAACGUGGGAAUUUAUCUGAUGGCUCUGCUUCCACUCCGACAGUUUCCUCUGCCCGCUGUGAUGGACUUUCCUCUACUUCGACAAUGUCGUUUGCUCUAGCAGCAACAUGGCGGGAGACAUCAUCCUCUAGCAAUGCCAACUAGCUGCAGGCCCCUCUCUGCCGUCGGAUUCUUCCAGGCACCAUGCUUGCAUUUAGUUACGCAUUCUCCUCAUGAAUAUACCUUGUUGGCAGGUCACUUGACUGCUAGAAGUGACGUCUACACCUUUGGUGUGCUCCUUCUUGAGGCGAAAAUCCAUC